RNAcentral lists this ribosomal RNA (500 nucleotides) under uncultured bacterium. RNAcentral's name for it is "partial 16S ribosomal RNA". It matches the Rfam family "Bacterial small subunit ribosomal RNA", at positions 28 to 507 of the family's 1533-position model. The record is from RNAcentral.
GACGAACGCUGGCGGCGUGCUUAACACAUGCAAGUCGAACGGGUCUGCCCUGUUUUUUGCGGGGUGGGUCAGUGGCGAACGGGUGAGUAACACGUGAGUAACCUGCCCCUCACUUCUGGAUAACCGCUUGAAAGGGUGGCUAAUACGGGGUGUUCUGGCUGUGCCGCAUGGUGUGGCUGGGAAAGAUUCACUUUUGUGGUGUUUUGGUGGGGGAUGGGCUCGCGGCCUAUCAGCUUGUUGGUGGGGUGAUGGCCUGCCAAGGCUUUGACGGGUAGCCGGCCUGAGAGGGUGGGCGGUCACACUGGGACUGAGAUACGGCCCAGACUCCUGCGGGAGGCAGCAGGGGGGGGUAUUGCACAAUGGGCGGAAGCCUGAUGCAGCGACGUCGCGUGAGGGAUGGAGGCCUGCGGGUUGUGAACCUCUUUCGCCGGUGAAGAAGGUCCUGCUCUUUGUGGUGGGGUUGACGGUAGCCGGGUUAUGAAGCGCCGGCUAACUACGUG